This 478-nucleotide ribosomal RNA is filed under the name uncultured bacterium. RNAcentral's name for it is "partial 16S ribosomal RNA". It matches the Rfam family "Bacterial small subunit ribosomal RNA", at positions 28 to 523 of the family's 1533-position model. The record is from RNAcentral.
GACGAACGCUGGCGGCGUGCUUAACACAUGCAAGUCGAACGGUAAGGCCCUUCGGGGUACACGAGUGGCGAACGGGUGAGUAACACGUGGGUGAUCUACCCUGCACUUCGGGAUAAGCCUGGGAAACUGGGUCUAAUACCGGAUAGGACCACUGCCUGCAUGGGUGGUGGUGGAAAGCUUUUGCGGUGUGGGAUGGGCCCGCGGCCUAUCAGCUUGUUGGUGGGGUGAUGGCCUACCAAGGCGACGACGGGUAGCCGGCCUGAGAGGGUGACCGGCCACACUGGGACUGAGAUACGGCCCAGACUCCUAUGGGAGGCAGCAGUGGGGAAUAUUGCACAAUGGGCGCAAGCCUGAUGCAGCGACGCCGCGUGAGGGAUGACGGCCUUCGGGUUGUAAACCUCUUUCAGCACCGACGAAGCGCAAGUGACGGUAGGUGCAGAAGAAGGACCGGCCAACUACGUGCCAGCAGCCGCCGCCG